Molecule: unclassified non-coding RNA, 343 nt
Filed under: soil metagenome
Description: partial contains 5.8S ribosomal RNA, internal transcribed spacer 2, and large subunit ribosomal RNA
Rfam family: 5.8S ribosomal RNA (bases 1-121)
Source: RNAcentral
GAUGAAGAACGCAGCGAAAGUGCGAAACGUAAUGUGAAUUGCAGAAUUCAGUGAAUCAUCGAAUCUUUGAACGCACAUUGCGCCCGCCAGCACUCUGGCGGGCAUGCCUGUUCGAGCGUCAUUUCAACCAUCAAGCCCCCAGGGGCUUGUGCUGGGGCCCUGCGGCUGCCCGCAGGCCCUGAAAACCAGUGGCGGGCUCGCUAGUCACACCGAGCGCAGUAGCACAUCUCGCUCAGGGCGUGCGGCGGGCUCCUGCCGUGAAACCCCCCACUGUAACCCCAAAGGUUGACCUCGGAUCAGGUAGGAAUACCCGCUGAACUUAAGCAUAUCAAUAAGCGGAGGA